GUACUUACUUUGGCAACACGUACACUAAAAUUGGAAUGAUACAGAGAAGAUUAGCAUGACUACUGCAUUCAAGUAUGACAUGCAAAGUCAUGAAGUGUUCCAUAUUUUU
This is a small nuclear RNA of Jaculus jaculus (lesser Egyptian jerboa), 109 nucleotides long. Lineage: Eukaryota; Metazoa; Chordata; Mammalia; Rodentia; Dipodidae. The record is from Ensembl.